Molecule: ribosomal RNA, 422 nt
Filed under: uncultured Glomeraceae
Lineage: Eukaryota; Fungi; Glomeromycota; Glomeromycetes; Glomerales; Glomeraceae
Description: SSU rRNA
Rfam family: Eukaryotic small subunit ribosomal RNA
Source: RNAcentral
GGGAGGUAGUGACAAUAAAUAACAAUACGGGGUUCUUCGAAUCUCGUAAUUGGAAUGAGUACAAUUUAAAUCUCUUAACGAGGAACAAUUGGAGGGCAAGUCUGGUGCCAGCAGCCGCGGUAAUUCCAGCUCCAAUAGCGUAUAUUAAAGUUGUUGCAGUUAAAAAAGCUCGUAGUUGAAUUUCGGGAUUAGCAGGUUGGUCGUACCAAUGGUAUGUACUGGCUCGCUGAUUCCUCCUUCUUGUAGAACCGUAAUGCCAUUAAUUUAGUGUUGCGGGGAAACAGGACUGUUACUUUGAAAAAAUUAGAGUGUUUAAAGCAGGCCAACGCCUGAAUACAUUAGCAUGGAAUAAUGAAAUAGGACGUUCGAACCUAUUUUGUUGGUUUCUAGGAUUGACGUAAUGAUUAAUAGGGAUAGUUGGG